UUACUUAAGACACCCACCAUCACAAAACUUUAAAGCCCGAAAGCGCAAUUUCGGGCUUUU
This 60-nucleotide small RNA is filed under the name Asticcacaulis benevestitus DSM 16100 = ATCC BAA-896. RNAcentral's name for it is "Caulobacter sRNA CC0196". It matches the Rfam family "Caulobacter sRNA CC0196". Lineage: Bacteria; Pseudomonadati; Pseudomonadota; Alphaproteobacteria; Caulobacterales; Caulobacteraceae. The record is from Rfam by way of RNAcentral.